Molecule: long non-coding RNA, 412 nt
Organism: Fundulus heteroclitus (mummichog)
Lineage: Eukaryota; Metazoa; Chordata; Actinopteri; Cyprinodontiformes; Fundulidae
Exons: 2
Source: RefSeq, a predicted model, not a curated record
CUGAUUAAACUGAGUCAUCUCUGCCUCCCCUUUCUCAAGUUUAUCACAGAUGAAAAGCAGAGAGCCUGUCUUGUUCACUCACACACACACAAAGAGAGACAGACAGAGAGAGAGAGAGAGAGAGAUGUUUGAUCAGCUGCUAGGCUGCACUCAACAAAGCUGUCCAGCAGCUGCACAGACCACCUCUCCAGGACAAUGGAGAAGGCCUGAACCAUGGGGCCAUAUGGCCUCAUCUGCUGGGACAUCUGAAAGAUUCCCUGGACCAGCCACUCUUGAUCCAGGGUCUGCUAAACCCGACUGCCUGCUUCAGCAGAGGACCUGACUGAAUCCGGACAAACAACAUGUCCGCGCAAACACAGAGCUAAGUUUGCUGUCUUAACAUCAUCACCGGUAGCAGGAGCAAAGAUCCUGC